AUCUAUUAGCUUAUGGUCAUAUAUUUAUUUGGAUUAUUGGACAUUGUAAAGAAAAGCUAACUCCAGAGCUGAUCAGGAAGACGAUGAUAGUCAUGAUACCACGUCCGAGGAAGAGUCAGUAAUUGGAUUCUUCAGUGCAUUUGUUUGGUUGGUGGGCAUGACUGCUAUCAUUGCUCUUUUAUUUGAAUAUAUCAUAGGUACAACAGAGGUAUGGUAUCUGAUCUUUCAAGUGUCUGUGCCGCCACUUAGAUGGAGCACCUACUUUAUUUCUAAAGCUGGGGGACAAGAGCAAGUAGUGGGCACAUGUCAGUUACAGAUACUUCACAAAAUGAGACAUUGGAGGUUGGACCUGGGAAUUUGAAGAUGCCCUUUUCAUCAACAUCUAGACAACUGAAAUGUAUGACGAAUUAUAGAACAAGGAUGAGUUGCAUUUUCUUUCCUGAUUACAAGCUCCUGGGUUAAUUAGCUUCAAAGUUUCUUGUAAAUCGGGCUUCUUUGACAUAUAUAACUCCAGAAUCUAGGCCUUGUAAUUAAUUAAAACUUUACAUAUGCUAUCCAUUGGAUUCCAGCACUCCUUGCCAUGUCAUUCAUACCCUUUUACAUGGUUAUUGCUAUGUUUAUAACUCUCGUAAAUGGUAACAUGCCUACCCAGGUGAAAGAUUUGGAUGUGGAACUUGAAAGUACUAAGUAGAAAAGUAAACAAAACCUGCAACAAGCCAUCUUAAUUGAAAGGGAAAGAGUUACUCAAAUGUAGUGGGAUAUGGAAGAACUUCGUAGGAUGUAUUUGGAGAUGGAGUUGAAGCUCAAAUUCGAACAGGAUGAAAAGAUUCGUUCGGAGUUGGCAAAAGUGUCUGCCAUUCAUGAGGAGCUGUUGCUAAGGAAUUAGAUGUUGCAAAAGAACAACUUAAGAACCUGCAGAAACAUCAAGAAGAGCUAGAAAUGAAAUCAAAAGAGGAUAUUAAACUUCUUGUUAAAGAAGUUAAACAUGUUAGAUUGGAAAGUUUUAGGAGAGACUUGAGCAAAGUGAAGUAUUGUUUAUGUA
Magnolia sinica is the source of this 1042-nucleotide long non-coding RNA. RefSeq lists it as uncharacterized. The record is from RefSeq and is a predicted model, not a curated record. Lineage: Eukaryota; Viridiplantae; Streptophyta; Magnoliopsida; Magnoliales; Magnoliaceae. The transcript has 3 exons.